GUACUAGUUUCGGCAGUACAUAUACUAAAAUUGGAACGAUACAGAAAAGAUUAGUAUGGCCCCUGCCCAAGGAUGAUACGCUAAAUCGUGAAGCGUUCCACAUUUUU
RNAcentral lists this small nuclear RNA (107 nucleotides) under Sipha flava (yellow sugarcane aphid). Lineage: Eukaryota; Metazoa; Arthropoda; Insecta; Hemiptera; Aphididae. The record is from RNAcentral.